This 91-nucleotide transfer RNA is filed under the name Nitrososphaerota archaeon. Its description in RNAcentral is "tRNA-Lys". It matches the Rfam family "tRNA". Rfam says of the family: Transfer RNA (tRNA) molecules are approximately 80 nucleotides in length. Their secondary structure includes four short double-helical elements and three loops (D, anti-codon, and T loops). The record is from RNAcentral. Lineage: Archaea; Thermoproteati; Nitrososphaerota.
GGGCCCGUAGCUCAGCCAGGUAGAGCAUCGGGCUUUUAACCCGAGGGUCUGGUUCACACCACCUAUGCGGGUUCGACUCCCGUCGGGCCCG